RNAcentral lists this long non-coding RNA (1025 nucleotides) under Linum usitatissimum (flax). RNAcentral describes it as "long non-coding RNA (LUSI_LNC004937)". Lineage: Eukaryota; Viridiplantae; Streptophyta; Magnoliopsida; Malpighiales; Linaceae. The record is from RNAcentral.
UCUAUGAAGUGAAAGAUCCAUAUUUUAACAUUCAUGAAUGGUGUGGCGCGAUGACAUGCGUCAACACGCAAGCACUCCUCCUCCUCCUUCGUUUAGUUUGGAGAAUCAGCGAUUUUUCCGGCGACGAUUCAAAAUCUCCGAUCAACCAUCAAUCAAGCCUCCCUUCUCUAUUUAAUCCCAGACCACUUCACUUCUAACCCUACAUCGUCUCUGCUGUUCUCCCAGUAGUCAAAUUAAACUGCUUCCCGCGACCAAGGAGUUGCUUGUUUCGAAACCAUAAGCUCGCCGACGACCUUCGUUUUUCUUCUUCACAUAAUCUGGGAAAUCAAGAGGUAACUGAGAGGCUUGACCUCAUAUAUUAUUUUGUUUUGGGUUUGAUAGCAUUUCUUGACUGAGCUUUAAGUGUUCUUUUUCUUUAAUCCAGAAGCUUUUGACGACGACGCUUCGACCGCAGCCAAUAAUCUAUUCUAUCCUCCAGUCAUUCUUACUUUCUUAACAAAGGUAAUGUAUCCCUAGUUCACCUCCCUUGCAAGUUUUUUGUUCCUAUAUACUUGUUGGAAGCAAUUCGACUAAGUCAUCGAUCUCCUUGACUUCCAGGGAUCGGAUUGUGUCGACGUACGUCCAUUCCCGAGCUGGAAUUUCAGAGAAACCCAAGUCAAUCUAUUAUCACGUUUAGCCUUGGAAUCUGGUCAGGGAAUGGUUCAUAUGUAUUCUUUUCGUUUUCCUCCAGUUUCAUGGCAUAUUGUUGAUCGCCGGGAACUCAGUUACCUUCGCUGGAAUUCUGGAAAUCCUCCAGGAUUAUUGGGGAAGAUGACCGGCGAAUGACUCUGGCGACAUAUAGACUUUCAGUGAUUAUGUUGUAGUCACUGCACUUCCAAAAAUUAGAAUUAGUACCUCUUGUCUUAGUAAAUUUCCUGACAUAAAUAAACUACUUCAAAAAAAUUCCAACAUUCAGUCGUAUAUGUGUAGGAAUCAAGCAGUUGUUGCAAGAAAAUGAAGCAAACUAGUUAUGUCUUAGUGCAAAC